This 2906-nucleotide ribosomal RNA is filed under the name Klebsiella aerogenes. Its description in RNAcentral is "23S ribosomal RNA". It matches the Rfam family "Bacterial large subunit ribosomal RNA". Lineage: Bacteria; Pseudomonadati; Pseudomonadota; Gammaproteobacteria; Enterobacterales; Enterobacteriaceae. The record is from RNAcentral.
GGUUAAGCGACUAAGCGUACACGGUGGAUGCCCUGGCAGUCAGAGGCGAUGAAGGACGUGCUAAUCUGCGAAAAGCGUCGGUAAGGUGAUAUGAACCGUUACAGCCGGCGAUGUCCGAAUGGGGAAACCCAGUGUGAUUCGUCACACUAUCGUUAACUGAAUACAUAGGUUAACGAGGCGAACCGGGGGAACUGAAACAUCUAAGUACCCCGAGGAAAAGAAAUCAACCGAGAUUCCCCCAGUAGCGGCGAGCGAACGGGGAGCAGCCCAGAGUCUGAAUCAGCUUGUGUGUUAGUGGAACGGUCUGGAAAGUCCGACGGUACAGGGUGAUAGUCCCGUACACCAAAAUGCACAGGUUGUGAACUCGAAGAGUAGGGCGGGACACGUGGUAUCCUGUCUGAAUAUGGGGGGACCAUCCUCCAAGGCUAAAUACUCCUGACUGACCGAUAGUGAACCAGUACCGUGAGGGAAAGGCGAAAAGAACCCCGGCGAGGGGAGUGAAAAAGAACCUGAAACCGUGUACGUACAAGCAGUGGGAGCACCCUUUAGGGUGUGACUGCGUACCUUUUGUAUAAUGGGUCAGCGACUUAUAUUCUGUAGCAAGGUUAACCGUAUAGGGGAGCCGCAGGGAAACCGAGUCUUAACUGGGCGUUAAGUUGCAGGGUAUAGACCCGAAACCCGGUGAUCUAGCCAUGGGCAGGUUGAAGGUUGGGUAACACUAACUGGAGGACCGAACCGACUAAUGUUGAAAAAUUAGCGGAUGACUUGUGGCUGGGGGUGAAAGGCCAAUCAAACCGGGAGAUAGCUGGUUCUCCCCGAAAGCUAUUUAGGUAGCGCCUCGUGAAUUCAUCUUCGGGGGUAGAGCACUGUUUCGGCUAGGGGGUCAUCCCGACUUACCAACCCGAUGCAAACUACGAAUACCGAAGAAUGUUAUCACGGGAGACACACGGCGGGUGCUAACGUCCGUCGUGAAGAGGGAAACAACCCAGACCGCCAGCUAAGGUCCCAAAGUCACAGUUAAGUGGGAAACGAUGUGGGAAGGCACAGACAGCCAGGAUGUUGGCUUAGAAGCAGCCAUCAUUUAAAGAAAGCGUAAUAGCUCACUGGUCGAGUCGGCCUGCGCGGAAGAUGUAACGGGGCUAAACUGUGCACCGAAGCUGCGGCAGCGACACUAUGUGUUGUUGGGUAGGGGAGCGUUCUGUAAGCCUGCGAAGGUGGCCUGUGAGGGUUGCUGGAGGUAUCAGAAGUGCGAAUGCUGACAUAAGUAACGAUAAUGCGGGUGAAAAGCCCGCACGCCGGAAGACCAAGGGUUCCUGUCCAACGUUAAUCGGGGCAGGGUGAGUCGACCCCUAAGGCGAGGCCGAAAGGCGUAGUCGAUGGGAAACAGGUUAAUAUUCCUGUACUUGGUGUUACUGCGAAGGGGGGACGGAGAAGGCUAUGUUAGCCGGGCGACGGUUGUCCCGGUUUAAGCAUGUAGGCGGAGGUUCCAGGUAAAUCCGGUACCUUUUAACGCUGAGGUGUGAUGACGAGGCACUACGGUGCUGAAGUAACAAAUGCCCUGCUUCCAGGAAAAGCCUCUAAGCAUCAGGUAACAUUGAAUCGUACCCCAAACCGACACAGGUGGUCAGGUAGAGAAUACCAAGGCGCUUGAGAGAACUCGGGUGAAGGAACUAGGCAAAAUGGUGCCGUAACUUCGGGAGAAGGCACGCUGAUAUGUAGGUGAAGCCCCUGCGGGUGGAGCUGAAAUCAGUCGAAGAUACCAGCUGGCUGCAACUGUUUAUUAAAAACACAGCACUGUGCAAACACGAAAGUGGACGUAUACGGUGUGACGCCUGCCCGGUGCCGGAAGGUUAAUUGAUGGGGUUAUCCGUAAGGAGAAGCUCUUGAUCGAAGCCCCGGUAAACGGCGGCCGUAACUAUAACGGUCCUAAGGUAGCGAAAUUCCUUGUCGGGUAAGUUCCGACCUGCACGAAUGGCGUAAUGAUGGCCAGGCUGUCUCCACCCGAGACUCAGUGAAAUUGAACUCGCUGUGAAGAUGCAGUGUACCCGCGGCAAGACGGAAAGACCCCGUGAACCUUUACUAUAGCUUGACACUGAACAUUGAGCCUUGAUGUGUAGGAUAGGUGGGAGGCUUUGAAGCGUGGACGCCAGUCUGCGUGGAGCCAACCUUGAAAUACCACCCUUUAAUGUUUGAUGUUCUAACGUUGGCCCCUAAUCGGGGUUGCGGACAGUGUCUGGUGGGUAGUUUGACUGGGGCGGUCUCCUCCCAAAGAGUAACGGAGGAGCACGAAGGUUAGCUAAUCCUGGUCGGACAUCAGGAGGUUAGUGCAAUGGCAUAAGCUAGCUUGACUGCGAGCGUGACGGCGCGAGCAGGUGCGAAAGCAGGUCAUAGUGAUCCGGUGGUUCUGAAUGGAAGGGCCAUCGCUCAACGGAUAAAAGGUACUCCGGGGAUAACAGGCUGAUACCGCCCAAGAGUUCAUAUCGACGGCGGUGUUUGGCACCUCGAUGUCGGCUCAUCACAUCCUGGGGCUGAAGUAGGUCCCAAGGGUAUGGCUGUUCGCCAUUUAAAGUGGUACGCGAGCUGGGUUUAGAACGUCGUGAGACAGUUCGGUCCCUAUCUGCCGUGGGCGCUGGAGAAUUGAGGGGGGCUGCUCCUAGUACGAGAGGACCGGAGUGGACGCAUCACUGGUGUUCGGGUUGUCAUGCCAAUGGCAUUGCCCGGUAGCUAAAUGCGGAAGAGAUAAGUGCUGAAAGCAUCUAAGCACGAAACUUGCCCCGAGAUGAGUUCUCCCUGAGACUUUAAGUCUCCUGAAGGAACGUUAAAGACGAUGACGUUGAUAGGUCGGGUGUGUAAGCGUAGCGAUACGUUGAGCUAACCGAUACUAAUGAACCGUGAGGCUUAACCUU